This 240-nucleotide unclassified non-coding RNA is filed under the name soil metagenome. RNAcentral's name for it is "partial contains 5.8S ribosomal RNA, internal transcribed spacer 2, and large subunit ribosomal RNA". The record is from RNAcentral.
AACCUAGCACACCUGCGGUGUGUACCUGCGGAGGGAUCAUUAUAGUAUAUGGAAUCUCCAUUCUAUAAACCCACUCUGCGUAUCUUGUAACUGUUGCUUCCAUGGGACUUGGUUCCGCCACACCGGCUUCACGGCUGGUGAGCGCCCAUGGAAGGAGAAACAAAACUCUUCUUUGAAAUGUAGUCAGUCUGAACAAGUUUUUAUAAACGUUAAAACUUUUAGCAACGGAUCUCAGAUCGG